CUCAGCUGUGUAGCUGGAAGAAGUGGGUGAAAAGUCUGACAAAUCUACAGCUUUUUUUUUUUUUGUUCAUCUCCGCCACUAAAUGAUCGGUCAAACAGUAGUGAGUGGAUGAGAUGUUUCCUGAAGGCGCGGGACCCGAUGAUUGAUGUUUGGCUCCAAAGCUGUGGGUCAUCGCGGAGUGAUGGCGGAGCCGCGGACACCGACCUCCCGUGUUUGCAUCCGCCAGUCUCGCCAAGAAAUAGCCAAACUUAUCCACGAUAUUGAGGACAUAACUCAGUGUAAAUAUGUGAGCGUCUGCAGUGACGAGAAUGUCAACGAUGUGGUCUGGAGAUCAUGUGCACAAGAAAAGAAGAUUCUUGGCACAAGACGCCAAAAAGAUUGGCUGCCCUGCAGAGCUCAAGGUGACAAGAGUGGCCACGUUUCCUGACCAUAAGGUAAAGUUGUUAGUUACUAUAUAUCUCCAGUUACCUUAUAUAUACAGUCCUGUGCCAAAGUUUGAGACAUUAAGAGUAAAGUGACAGUGCUUUCAAAAAUAAUGUCACUGUUCGUAUGUGGACUUAGGCUGUCUCAGUGUCUUCUGUCUCGUCAUGUAAUCCCAGACUGACUCCACGAUGUUAAGAUCAGGGGUCUGUGUGGGCCAGACCAUCUGUUGCACGACUCUUUGUUCUUCUUGUCUCUGAAGAUAGCUCUUCAUGACUGUGCCUGUAUGUUUGGGGUUGUUGUCGUCAUGCUGCAGAAUGAAUCUGGGACCGAUCAGACGCCUACCUGAUGGUACUUCGUGAUGGAUAAGAAUCUAAACAUCUUAACAAGACUUUUGCACAGUACUGUAGAUUUUCAGGGACAGUGUGUGGGAAAGAAAGCGUGCAGGACAAACCCUGAGGAUGACCCUACAAGAGAACAAGCCAGUAGCCUGGGAAAACACCUACUAUGUGUUGGUACCACUACUGGAGGAUCAUGUUGGCCAUCCUGUUGUUGGAAAGGUGGCUUGCGUUCGAGAAGUGGUUGACCCCAGGGUUGAGGAAAGAAAAAAGGAGCUGUUACGACGGGGAGUCAAGAGUGUCAGUGAAAUGCGCAGGCAUAUCAGAGAAUUUGUAAAGCGCAACCUUUUCAAAGGUGAAAAGCCACCUCCACUGACAAGGUAUCACUAUUACACCCUGCACCAAAACUUGAGAAAUAUCAUGAAAUGUGCACGUGAUGCUGUCAGUCACCCCAGUGAUGAUCAGGAGAACUUGCAGAUCCUUGCACAGACAUGGAGAAACAGAGACCCUGGUGACAACAUCUUUGUCAGGCCACAUCGAGAGAGGGAAGAUUUCCUUCCGUGCUACCAGACAAAGUGGCAGCAGCGACUUCUGCACCUGUAUGGGCGGGACGUCUGCCUCCUUCAUGCCGCGUUUAAGAUGACGAAGCACGAACUGCCGUUGUUUUUCCUGUGGGUCCGCACAAAUAGAUUGCAGAGCUGUCCUGUGUGAUUUCCACCAGGAUAGGGUGUGGGGUGAAUGGAUGAGAAAAGUGGACCAUGGGGUACAGAAUCAAGCCAUGACACUAGCCCUUUCUGAGAAGAAUCGCUGCAGCUGACACUCUCCAGGAGUAUUAGCAGGCACUCAAGCAGCUUCAGGACAGUGAGCAAUGGACCAGGAAUCUCCUCUUCCAGAAAUGGUUUUAGACAACAUGGCUCCCUGAGGUGAAGAGAUGGGUCACAGUUUUCCUUGAGGAUUCGCUGCCACAGAAAAUCACAACCAACAGUGGGCUUGAGCGGCUGAAUGAGACUUUGAGGUUCAGGCACCUGGAGAACAACCAGACCGGCACCACGAGUGAAAUGAUGACAAUGAUUGUCGAUUUCAUCCCCCAGAUGCAAAAGAAGUACACGCAGCUGAACAUCCAAUGUUCCUCUGGGUACAAGUACAGUGCCAGUACACCCACCUUCCUUCACAACCGACCAUGUGACAUGGUGAUUCACAUCAAAGACCGAAUGGCAGCAGAUUUAGGUCCUGAACAUGUUACACAAAUGUCUCAUGGAACAUUCAAGGUGACCAGUGAGUCAGACGGAGGGAGUUGUGUUGUCACACUAGCGUCAAGCUGUACUCUACCAUCAUGCAGUUGUGAAGACUGGAAGAGAAACAGACUUCCGUGCAAACACUUUUGUGCAGUCUUUAAAGCGGGAUGGACAUGGGAUGACCUCUGCCAACAGUACAAAAACAAGUUUGCAGUUUACAGUUUGCUUUUGGAAGGACAAUCCAUCUCAACCUGUCUGCAGGACAAGUUUAUCCAAGCGACUAUUAUCUAUACUUUAGAAAGGCUCUGAAAGCUAAAAUGCAUUCCUCCUAUUGGAAUGUGAAGACAAUCUUUCCUUUCACAAAAGUCAACAACAGUGACAUUCGUACAUAGAACAUUUCUAAGAUAGAUCUAAGUAAAUGCAGAGUUGUUUAUGUUGUCAGAUGCUUGUAUUUUUUUAAUUUCAGAUGCUUUGUAGUGUAUGAGUCUGGCAAAUUAUUUC
Xiphias gladius (swordfish) is the source of this 2494-nucleotide long non-coding RNA. RefSeq lists it as uncharacterized. The record is from RefSeq and is a predicted model, not a curated record. Lineage: Eukaryota; Metazoa; Chordata; Actinopteri; Istiophoriformes; Xiphiidae. The transcript is spliced from 7 exons.